RNAcentral lists this ribosomal RNA (254 nucleotides) under uncultured bacterium. RNAcentral describes it as "partial 16S ribosomal RNA". It matches the Rfam family "Bacterial small subunit ribosomal RNA", at positions 524 to 776 of the family's 1533-position model. The record is from RNAcentral.
UACGUAGGGGCCUAGCGUUGUCCGGAUUUAUUGGGCGUAAAGAGCUCGUAGGCGGUUCGGUAAGUCGGAUGUGAAAUCUCCACGCUUAACGUGGAGGGGCCAUUCGAAACUGCCGUGACUCGAGUCCGGUAGGGGAGUGUGGAAUUCCCGGUGUAGCGGUGAAAUGCGCAGAUAUCGGGAGGAACACCGGUGGCGAAGGCGGUUCUCUGGGCCUGACCUGACGCUGAGGAGCGAAAGCGUGGGGAGCGAACAGG